UUUUUGGAGAGUUUGAUCUUGGCUCAGGACGAACGCUGGCGGCGUGCCUAAUACAUGCAAGUCGAGCGCUGGAAGCUAAUUUCAUCCCUUCGGGAUGAAAUUAGUGGAAAGAGCGGCGGACGGGUGAGUAACACGUGGGCAACCUACCUAUAAGACUGGGAUAACUCGCGGAAACGUGAGCUAAUACCGGAUAAUACUUUUUAUUGCAUAAUAAGAAGUUUGAAAGGCGGCGU
This 233-nucleotide ribosomal RNA is filed under the name Bacilli bacterium. RNAcentral describes it as "partial 16S ribosomal RNA". It matches the Rfam family "Bacterial small subunit ribosomal RNA", at positions 1 to 213 of the family's 1533-position model. Lineage: Bacteria; Bacillati; Bacillota; Bacilli. The record is from RNAcentral.